AAAUGCUAUAAGUAAUGUGAAUUGCAGAAUUCAGUGAAUCAUCGAAUCUUUGAACGCACAUUGCGCCCGCCAGUAUUCUGGCGGGCAUGCCUGUUCGAGCGUCAUUUCAACCAUCAAGCCCCCGGCUUGUGUUGGGGACCUGCGGCUGCCCGCAGGCCCUGAAAAACAGUGGCGGGCUCGCUGUCACACCGAGCGUAGUAGCAUACAUUCUCGCUCAGGGCGUGCUGCGGGUUCCGGCCGUUAAACGACCUUCAUAACCCAAGGUUGACCUCGGAUCAGGUAGGAAGACCCGCUGAACUUAAGC
This 304-nucleotide unclassified non-coding RNA is filed under the name plant metagenome. Its description in RNAcentral is "partial contains 5.8S ribosomal RNA, internal transcribed spacer 2, and large subunit ribosomal RNA". The stretch from base 1 to 104 matches the Rfam family "5.8S ribosomal RNA", at positions 51 to 154 of the family's 154-position model. The record is from RNAcentral.